Long non-coding RNA from Chiroxiphia lanceolata (lance-tailed manakin), 501 nucleotides. RefSeq lists it as uncharacterized. The transcript is spliced from 2 exons. NCBI's taxonomy places the organism in Eukaryota, Metazoa, Chordata, Aves, Passeriformes, Pipridae. The record is from RefSeq and is a predicted model, not a curated record.
UGAGGCAGCAGCCAAGCAGCACCAAGUUCCUGUGUCAGCAGCUGUUCCUAUUAUUCCAUGACUGGUGAGGAGUUCUUUCCUGGAGUGCCCUGCCUGUUAGCAAAACACCAGGCCCAAAGGAUCCUGGCAAGUGCAGCACUGGAAGAGACAGGAAUACUCAAAAAUGCACCAGUUCUCAGGAAGCUCAACUUUGUAAAACAUUUAUGAAGCUGAAAUUCCAUAGUAUUGAGCUGUUCGGUCCCAAAUAAUAUUGGAGGGAGAGGCAGAAAAUGCCACUGCUGCUGGGGCUGAACUGUCUGCAGUGAGUGGGCAGGACUUGCCCCUGAUGCCUGAGUGCAUCUUUAGGAUGGAUCCCAACUGUGAGCCCCUGGCUCCAUACCUUGAGAAGAUGGUGUUCCUGCAAGCCCAGCUGCUGUGUUGGUGGUCCUGGGGGCACCUCUUGCCCUGGCCUGCUGUGACUGUGUUUGUGCUGCAGCUCAAUAAAGUCUCUUUCAGUGGUGA